Molecule: ribosomal RNA, 497 nt
Filed under: uncultured bacterium
Lineage: Bacteria
Description: partial 16S ribosomal RNA
Rfam family: Bacterial small subunit ribosomal RNA
Source: RNAcentral
GAUGAACGCUGGCGGCGUGCCUAAUACAUGCAAGUCGAGCGAACAGAUGAGGAGCUUGCUCCUCUGACGUUAGCGGCGGACGGGUGAGUAACACGUGGAUAACCUACCUAUAAGACUGGGAUAACUUCGGGAAACCGGAGCUAAUACCGGAUAAUAUAUUGAACCGCAUGGUUCAAUAGUGAAAGACGGUUUUGCUGUCACUUAUAGAUGGAUCCGCGCCGCAUUAGCUAGUUGGUAAGGUAACGGCUUACCAAGGCAACGAUGCGUAGCCGACCUGAGAGGGUGAUCGGCCACACGGGAACUGAGACACGGUCCAGACUCCUACGGGAGGCAGCAGUAGGGAAUCUUCCGCAAUGGGCGAAAGCCUGACGGAGCAACGCCGAGUGAGUGAUGAAGGUCUUCGGAUCGUAAAACUCUGUUAUUAGGGAAGAACAAAUGUGUAAGUAACUAUGCACGUCUUGACGGUACCUAAUCAGAAAGCCACGGCUAACUACGUG